RNAcentral lists this long non-coding RNA (331 nucleotides) under Zostera marina. Its description in RNAcentral is "long non-coding RNA (ZMAR_LNC001990)". The record is from RNAcentral. Lineage: Eukaryota; Viridiplantae; Streptophyta; Magnoliopsida; Alismatales; Zosteraceae.
GGCUCUGAGUCGCCGACUCCACAAGGGGAGUCGCCGACACUGGCGAGGCGCCAAGUAGCUCGUGCACGGUGGCACUCAGCUCCAAUCCAUGAGGUGGAACGACCGGAGUCGCCGACUCAACCUCUCUGUCAGGAGAGGGAAUCGGCGACUCAACGGUGUUCAACACCCCAUCCAGGUUAUCAGUCAUUAAGUCAGCUAUAAAAGCUGACGUUUCGCUUUCCUUCAAUGGGGAGUCGGGGGUAGACAUUGGGUGAAUCGGUGAUUCGAAGGUUUAGAACUGAGGAAUCGGCGAUUCAAAGGUCUGGAGGUUUGGGCGAUCGAGAAAGGCAAA